UCUUUGUCUCUUAAUAAGAAUCCUUACUUCAAACCUAAUUGCAAACCAAUUAUCUUCUUUAUUAAUUUAUUUAAUAACCUAUUCAAUGGCUAUAAAAUUCGUAUCAAAUAUCAAUAUUAUUGAUCUUUCAUAAUUAUAAUCACUUGUUUUAAUACUAGUGGUGAUUUCAAAACCACCUUUAAUUCAUCCAUGGAGAAUUCUUCCUCU
RNAcentral lists this long non-coding RNA (207 nucleotides) under Physcomitrium patens. Its description in RNAcentral is "long non-coding RNA (PPAT_LNC011092)". Lineage: Eukaryota; Viridiplantae; Streptophyta; Bryopsida; Funariales; Funariaceae. The record is from RNAcentral.